RNAcentral lists this long non-coding RNA (799 nucleotides) under Zostera marina. RNAcentral describes it as "long non-coding RNA (ZMAR_LNC002558)". The record is from RNAcentral. Lineage: Eukaryota; Viridiplantae; Streptophyta; Magnoliopsida; Alismatales; Zosteraceae.
AUCAUGUCAAUUUAAACCCUAAUUACACUAUUAAUCAAUAUGGGGUAAAUAAGUCAAUCGAUAUUAAACCUAACUCUAGUUAAUUAAUUAAUCAUUUGAGUUAAGGGUUUAAGUCAAAGUUAAAAGUCAAAUUGGGAGAAUUGCAUUUUCACCUUGAAUAUUAUUAUUUGAAAUAAUUGCAUUUUCACCUUGAAUAUUAUUAUUUGGAAUAAUUGCAUUUUUACCUUGAAUAUUAUUAUUAUUAUCUUUUGACACUCUAUUCAAGGUAUAAUAUUCCAAGGGGACAAAACACUAUUCAAGUUUGAAUUUAUACAAAGAUAAGAUUCUCCAACAAACUCUAUCCAAGAAAAACACUAUUCAAGAUAAGAUCAAAGACAAAGCUUGGAUUUAUGUGAGAAAUCAAGGAGCCAUCCAUUGAAGAUCCAAGGGUGGACAUUGAGUGGCCAAGGCUAUAAAUAGAAGGGUAAUCCCCUCAUUUUCACUCACCACACUACAAGCAAACUCAAGAGCUUUCACUCCACAUGCACUUGCCCACACGUUUUUGCCUCCAAGCUUCCAAGCUUUCAAGUGCUCAAGUGUCCUAGCUUUCCAAAGCUUCAAAAGCUCUCCAACUUCUUCUUCUAAUCUUCUUGUUUAUCUUUACAAGUAAGAAGUGUUGUUUGCUUUAAUAUUCCACUCCUCUAAUCACCUCUUGUGUGUGUCCACUUUGGUUGAGAGGGUUGUCUCAAUAGUACCAAAGUGUUAGAGAAGGUUUGUGAGCUCAACCAUAAAGCUCUAGUUUGGUUUUAUAGAGUUUCCG